UACGGAAGGCAGCAGUGGGGAAUAUUGCACAAUGGGCGCAAGCCUGAUGCAGCCAUGCCGCGUGUAUGAAAAAGGCCUUCGGGUUGUAAAGUACUUUCAGUCGUGAGGAAGGUGUUAAGGUUAAUAACCUUAGCAAUUGACGUUAGCGACAGAAGAAGCACCGGCUAACUCCGUGCCAGCAGCCGCGGUAAUACGGAGGGUGCGAGCGUUAAUCGGAAUUACUGGGCGUAAAGGGCACGCAGGCGGUUAAUUAAGUUGGAUGUGAAAUCCCCGGGCUUAACCUGGGAAUGGCAUUCAAGACUGGUUAGCUAGAGUCUUGUAGAGGGGGUAGAAUUCCAUGUGUAGCGGUGAAAUGCGUAGAGAUGUGGAGGAAUACCGGUGGCGAAGGCGGCCCCUGGACAAAGACUGACGCUCGAUGUGCGAAAGCGUGGGGAGCAAACAGGGAUUAGAUACC
This 454-nucleotide ribosomal RNA is filed under the name uncultured bacterium. Its description in RNAcentral is "bacterial SSU rRNA". It matches the Rfam family "Bacterial small subunit ribosomal RNA", at positions 340 to 786 of the family's 1533-position model. The record is from RNAcentral.